RNAcentral lists this long non-coding RNA (1416 nucleotides) under Anser brachyrhynchus (Pink-footed goose). RNAcentral describes it as "lncRNA (ENSABRG00000007446.1)". Lineage: Eukaryota; Metazoa; Chordata; Aves; Anseriformes; Anatidae. The record is from RNAcentral.
GGCUCCUUUUAGCCCUGUCAGCACAACGCUGGUGAGGCUGAUGUGGCACGGAGCUCCAUUCUGCCCACCGAGCACAAACAAAGCCAACACUAGCCAGACCAGCACACAUUGCAUCUGGCAUUCCUGGUGACUGGACCUAAGGUGCACCUUCACAUGGAUCAGGUGUCAAAAAUGGUAAAACGAUUCUUCUGGAUAUCUGCCCCAAAACAACAGGUAUUUACUAGAGGAAGAGGAGGGAAGAGAAACGAAUAUGAAGUGCAAACAUCAAGUUCAGCACCUUAUUCUGUGUGGGGAAUAUCAAUCUAUAUCUCCCAUUUUCUGAGAAAGAAGCAUUCAAACUUUUUGGUUUCUUGUAUCUGGAACCAAAACCCAAGCUAAUUCAUUUGGGUAAAAAAAGAACUACCACAAAAAAGGAGCAAAUGUUUUUAUCAAAACCACAUUUCCAGCAGCUGAACUGGAACUUCCCAUAUUCCCACAGAAUCACAUCAAACUGCUCUAAACGCUCACAAGUUCUGCAGAGCACCGUCAAAACAGAGGCUGGAAUACCUGCCACCUCGAGGCACCGCUGAGUCUGGGGAAGCGGUUGCAAAGGUCACGAGCUCAUAGAUGCCUUCAGAUCUCACAUGAAGCUACUUGAUCUUGGUGAUCCGUAAUGCAGACCUCAUAGCAUAUAUGCUCUUCGCUUUCAAAUUUGUUUAGGCUACUCCUUUAAGAUUUUUUUGUCCAACUCUGCAGAAAAAAGGGAAAGCUGAGUUAUGACUGAUAUUGAAAUGACACUUCCAGUCAGUCAGUGAAAACGUUUAACUCUUGAAUCUGACUCAUACAAGGGCACCAGUUAUAAAGCAUUGUGUUGUGCAGUCAGAAGGUAAAAAUGGAAGCUAUGGAAAAAGCAGCUUCCAUCUUACACAGAGAAAUCAGGGCAGAGUUUUGGAGGCUGCUACUGGGCAGAACAAAGGUUUUUCUUCUGCAUCAUCUCAUUUUUGCCGCUUCACAUAUUGGAGGUAGCAGAUGAAGAGUGAGCCAGGCAUUAAAACGCUACCUAAGUCAGGACUUUAUGCUUUCACACAGUGAUUCAAUUAAUCAAAGUUUUUGCCAUAAAAUUCAAGCGGCAAUGCUCAAAGCCAAGUCAAGUCACAAAAUACAAGCUGAUUAAUUUCCCUCUAAUUUGUAUGAUAAUUAAAAUUCCAACUUUUAAUUCUGUUAAUUGUCCUCCCACAAGGAGGUUGAUUGGGCUUUGCUAAUACAUGCUGUGAAAAUGCACUUCCCACAGGUCUGUCUUUGUUUCCUUUAAAAUGUAAUGCUUUUACAUAAUUAUCCCUUAACUUCUAUAGAUAAAUGUAAGCUUAUCUUUGGCCUAUUCUGACACAAGUCUCUGUGUAACUUAAGCUGUGCCAAUAAAUCAAAUGCUGAAAGUCA